Molecule: long non-coding RNA, 9463 nt
Organism: Meriones unguiculatus (Mongolian gerbil)
Lineage: Eukaryota; Metazoa; Chordata; Mammalia; Rodentia; Muridae
Exons: 6
Source: RefSeq, a predicted model, not a curated record
UAAAAAUGUAUAUUAAACUCCAAUGUUAAGUUGCAAAAACAAAACAAACAAACAAAAGGAGAUUGUGAAGGAAGAAACAGCAGCAACAGAUUUUGAAAGGUGAAUGGUGUUUGGUGAGAUAGCAGGAGGGACUAGAUUAAACAAAAGGUUAUAGAAGAAGAGAAGCAACAGAACUGGCCAUUGCAGAUAAAUAAUAAGACAAUGGUCUUCAUCCCAACUGCGUCAGUAGUUACAUUCAUCAGAAAGCAGCCUGUAUAUUCAACCACAAGAUUGAGAAUGCCACACCAGAGAAAGAAGGAAUAGCCUCAGUUCAAAAGGUAAAGGCAUCUCUGUCUUUGUUCCAUUGCUGUGAUAAAACACUAUGACCAAAAGCACCUUGGGGAGGAAACGGUUUAUUUCAUCUUACUACUCUCAGGUAUUUGUAUCACUGUGAGAAGUCACAGCAGGAACGCAAAGAAGAAAGCUGUGUUUUCUUGUGUUUGAGGCAGAAACUGAAAUAGAGACUAUGAAAGAAAGCUUCUGAGGCCUCACUCCAUGGCUCGCUUUCAAGACCACGUGCCCAGGGGUGACAACGCUCCCAGUGGGCUGGGCCUUCCAACAUCAAUCAUUAAUGAAGAAAAUGCACUACAAACUUGCCUCCAGGCAGUCUGGAAGAAGGCAUUUUUCUCAACUGAGGCAUUGAGGCUACUCUUUCCAAAUAACUCUAAAAAGAAACAGGAUCUGGGACAGUCUCCGAAGGCUGGGACCACAGGCUGUCCUCCAAAGCUGCAACAAGGCGUGGGGCCAGUUAAGAAGUUGCUGUAGCUGGGACUUUCUCAAGGGAGGGAGAGAGACGCUGAGAGCACUUUUCUCCUAGUAUUCACUAAACUUAAAAUGAUGAGUUUCACCAUGUUUUCCUACUUGCACGUCACACACCUUAGUCAUAUGUCCCCUCUGUUGCGCUUUCUGAUCAUCCUAUUCCCCCUCUACUCCGUUCCGCAGCUCUAACAGCCCCCUUCUAUUCAAGUUUUUCUCCUCUGGCUUCCACAUAGGAGUGAACACGUGUGAUCUUUAUCUCUUUGUACCUAGCUUAUGUCACUUACCUCUAUAGUCUAUUUCUAUCCAUUUUCUUGGUCAUGGUAUCUGUUGUGUGUGUGUCUGCACAUAUGUACCACAUCUUUGUACAUCCAUCUCUUGGUGGACACCUGUACUGGUUCUCUCUCCUGGAUGUCAUGAAUUGUGCAGCCACGAACACGGCUGUGCACAUAGCCCUGAGGCCCACUGACUGACUGGACUCCUUCAGGUGUUAGCAGUGGUGGAAUAGCUUUGUCACUGCAGGUUUUGUUUUCAGUUGUUUGAGGAACUUUGUAGUUUGGGCUUUGUCAGUCCCACUGCAGUGGAGAAGAGCUCCUUCUCCAAUGGUGGCAUCCAUCAUUUUCUUGGUGACAGCCAUUCAUUCUAUCUAUGGUGAGAAGAGAUCACAAUGUAAUUUCAUUUGCCUUUUCCUAGUGGCUGAGGGUAUAGGGCGUUUUUUUCACAUAUGUCUUGGCCUUCUGUUUUUCUUCAUUUGUGAAGUUUGUUUGCCUCUGUUGAUUAGAUUGUUACUUUGGUGGGUUUUGAGGGGGUUGUUUUCAGUUCUUCCCAGAUGACUGUCAGAUGACUGGCCAAGAUAGUCUAUUCUUAGGCUCUUUACUCAGCUGUUUCUUUUGCUGUGAAUAUUUUUAGUUUGAUAUAAUCCCAUUAGCCAGUUCUUAUUAUUUCAUGAGAUGCUGGAGCUCAUUUCAGAAGGUCCCUGUCUUACUUAUGUGUGGAAGUGUUUUGCUUCUUCCUCUAGUAAUUUCAGAGUUUUAGGUAUUACAACUAAGUCAGUGUUCCAUUUUGGGUUGAUUUAUGCAGUAGGCCAGAGCCUGCUACAAAUGUUAUCCUCCUACAUGUGAAUAACCCAUUUUCCAGCAUCAUUUGUAAAGAGACUGUCUUCUAUUUCCAGUGUAUUUUUAAGGAUUUAUUUUAUUUUUAAUUCUAUGUAUGCAGGAGUUGGGGGAGUAUGUGCACAUGAAUACAGGUAUCCUCAGAAGCCAGAAGGGAGGCAUUGGAUUCGCGUGUGCUGAAGCUAUAGGUGAUCCUGAGCUACCUGAUGUCAGGUCUGAGAACCAGACUUUAACCUCUUAACCAAUGAGCCAUUUCUCCAGCCCUCUACGCUGGAGAUGCUUCCACAGGCGAAAAUAAAAUUGGCCAACAGACCUUGAGACCUUGGUGCUAUCGUUUACUGCGUUGGCGUGAAGGAUUUCAAUGAAACUCAGUUGGCUCAAAUCGCAGACAGUAAGGACCACAUGUUUCCUGUGAAAGAUGGCUUCCAGGCUCUUCAAGGCAUCAUCCACUCGAGUCCCUUCAAGUGGUCAUGAGAGGAAAUGGCUUCCGACAUGCCUGCAGUGUGGACAGGGUCCUCUGCAGCUUCAAGAUCAAUGACUCAGUCACACUCAGGAUGGGCCACUCUCCCCUGGAGCGUUCAGUUCGGUGUAAUUAUUUCUGUAACAGCAACCCAGGCAGAGCUCAGGCCAGCUCAAGAACAGACUUCACAAUCAAGCUUGCGUCCUCACUGCGAGCUGCUACAUAAUUACGUCUCUGAUCCUGAGAGAUGAGCUCAUGGGAGAGCUUCAAGGAUCCGACACAGUUCCAUACAGGAGGUGCUCCUAUGGGGUCUGCUACCUAUCUGCAUGGCUGUUACUGUAAGAAGGUGGGAGAAAGCAGGCCAGGCAUGGAUGAAGGCCCACAUGUGAGGAAACAUUUAUGGGUACACACUGGGUUACAUUUCAAGAGUAUUGAGGUUCCAUUUUAUAUGUGGAUGACACCAUGAAAAUUAACUGUUCUAUGCAUGACACUGCUAAUACAAAAACAUCAUUAAAAUAAAAAGUAGGCCUGUCAGAAUCACACCAGACUUCUCAACAGAGACUAUGAAAGCCAGAAGGGCCUGGAUGAAUAUCAUGUAGACACUAAGAGACCACUGAUGCCAACCCAGACUACUAUAGCCAGCAAAACUUUCAAUCAACAUAGAUGAAGAAAAGAAAAUAUUCCAUGACAUAACUAAAUUUAAACAGUAUAUAUGCAGCAACCCUACAGAAGAUACUAGAAGGAAAACUCCAGUCCAAAGAGAUCAACUACACCCAAGAAAACACAGGUCCAAAUUGAGGCCAAGACCAAGAGAGGAAGUCCAUGCCUGACACUGCCUGGAUGAACCAGAGUCAGGACAGCCUAGAGACCCAGGAUAUAUGUAAACAUGGCAGGCAAAAAACGUCAAUGAAAGAUAUUCUGCUAUAAUCAUAGAUCUGUGCCUAACCCAGUUAUCAUUAGAGAGACAUCACCCAACAUCUGAUGGGAGUAGGUGCAGAGACUCACAGCCAAACACAACGAUGUAUCCAGGGGAACCGUACAAAUGAAGAAGGAAGUAUUGUCGGAACCAGAGAUAUUGAGGACACAACAAGAACACAGCCCACUGAGUCAACGGGGCUCAUAGGGGAUCACAGAGACUGAAGCAAAAAAAUGUAAAUAGUCUGUGGGUCUUUUGAGCUAGGUCAUCUGCACACACCUUAUGAUUAUUAGCUUGAUGUUCUUGUGGGACUUCCAACAGUGAGAGUGGGGGUGUCUCUGAUUCUUUUUCCUGAUCUAGCUACACUUUCUCUUCUUAUGUAUUGCCUUGACCAACUUUGAUGUGAGGGAUUGUGCCUAGUCUUGUUGUAACUUGUUAGGCCAUCAGAUUUUUUUUCAUUGAAAAUAAAGUAGCAGUGGAUCUGAAGGAGAGGUGAGGUGGGCAGAGUGGCGGUGGAUAGAUAGUGGCUGGGAGGAGCAAAGGGUCAGGAAACUGCAGUUGGGAUGUAAUGCAUGAAACAACAACAAAAAUAAAAUGCUAAAUUAAAAUAAACUAUCAGCAGCCAGGUAUGUUGGUGAAUGCCUGCAAUCCUAGCACUCAGAAAGUCAGAGGCAGGUAGAUCUCAAAGAGUUCUACAAAGAGAAUCCAGGACAGCCAAGGCUACUCAAAGAAAUCCUGUCUUCAAACAAACAAACAAACAAACAAAAACUGUCAGCGUUUGUCUUUCAUAUUUGAGAACUUUGUUCUAUGUCCCACUUUUUAACAGGGUUUUUGUUGUUGUUGUUUGUUUGUUUGUUUUAUGGUUUCUUCAUGUCUACAUUUUAUGAGUUCUUUGUACGGUCUAGAUAUAAACCUGUCUUAUGCGUAGCUGGUAAAGACGUUUCCCAUUCUUUAAUCUGCUUCAUCACCUAAAGUAUGGAUUGCAAAAGCUUUUUAGUUUUUUGAAGUCUCAUUUAUUCAUUCAUGGUCUUCAUGUUUGUGCCUGUGCUAUUUUGGUCCUGUUCUCCUGUUCAGCAAGUCCUUCCCCGUAAAUUCAAGGGUAGACCUUAUUUUUCUCUACUGCUUUCAGUAUAACUUGAUUAUGUUGUAGUUCUUCCUUGUUAUUUAUGAAGGUGAGUUUUUUGCAUGGUGAGAGAUAGGGAUAUUUUUAAUUUGGAGCUAUACAGUUUAGCAAGCACUACUGAAAUUGUCUUUUCUCUAAUAUUGCUUUUCAAAGAUCAUAUAGCUUUAAGAGUGUUUGGGUUUUUGUUGUUGUUAUGCUUCUUAAUUCUAUUGUAGUAUACAUUGAGUCCAUUAUUAAGCCACUACGAUGCUGUUUUUAAUUUAAAUUUAAACUGAAACAUGGCAAUGCCUUCAGAAAAUAUUUUUUUGGUUAAGGAUUGUUUUUUGUUAUUCUUGGUCUUUUUUGUUUACACAGGACUUCAAGACUACUUUCAGUUUCUUUGAAGAAUUUUAUCGAAUGUCUGGUGGAGAUUGCUUUGAAUACGUAGCUUCCUUUGUAGGGUAAUCAUUUUAGCAAGGUUAUUUCUGCCAAUCCAUAAGCAUGUAUGGUCUUUCUAUUUUCUGGUUUUUAUUUUUCCAAGUGUCUUAAAGGUUUCCUUGCAUCUGUUUGGUACAUUUGACAUAUGUAUUAUAACUCCAGAGUUACUCAGUUUAGUUUAUUUACAGAUAGCCUGUUUAUGGAUAAUCACUGUGUUUGGGUAAAUCUUUUGUUUUAGAUCUGUGUUUCUUUUAUGAAAGAGUGCAUUUGGAUUUGCUAAAUUUUUUAAAUGAGUAUAAAGUUCCACCCUUAGUCUAUUAACUAAUUUUAGAUUGAAGUACAUUUUGUCAGGCAUUAGAAUACCUAUAUACAUGGUAGUUUUCUGGUUCCAUUUGUUUGGAAUUAUUUUUGGCCAUUUACUGUAGGUAUCUAUGUCUUUGAAGGGAGGUUCUUAGAGGCAGAAAACACAAGAACCCUGUUUCUUAUUGUGUCUGUGUUUUUAGUGAGGAACUGAGACCAGUAAUGUAGUUAUUGUUGAAAGAUGUGCACUGAUUCUUUUCAUUUAUUUCAUUUCAUGCUGUUUUCUUGGAUCUGUUUUAACAAAUACAGAUUGGGCUGGCAAUAUUCACUUGUCACUUUUGACAUCUCAGAUGUGCUUGUCCUUCACUUCAGACUGAAGUAUUAGCAUUCCUCCUGAUUUUCUCAUUAGGGCCCUCUUUAUACUCACAAACUGAUGCUUCGGGAGUUAGAGUACAUCUUUUGAUUUUCGUCUGACCUUAAAGCUUUUAUCAAACAAUCUGGUGUUAUUCUAAAAGGCUUGCCUUUAUAAGUUACUUGAUCUUUCUCAAUGUAACUUUUAAUACCAUUUUUUUUAAAUUUUGUUUCUGGUGUCUUAACUAUAAUGCAUCAUGGAGAAAUUCUUUUCCAGUCGUGUGUAUUUGGUGUUCUGUAGCACUCUUGUACCUUGUUAGCCAUCACUUUUAUUAGUUUUGGGAAUUUUUUUCUAUACCUUUACUGAAAAUAUUUUCUAUGCCUUUGCUAAUGUUUUUUUCUUCUCUUUCUAUGAUCAAAAUGCCUUUUGUUGAUAUCCCCAAACUAUCUCAUGCUCCAUUCAUAUACACUGUUAAGUUUCUCCUUGCCUGUUAUUGAUUGAUUCAACUCCUCUACUUGGUCUUCUAUCUUUAAAUCUCUGUUUUUAGCAUGGUCAAUCCUGUUAGUGUUUCCUUGUUCAGAGUUUUAUAUUCAAUCUAUUGGGUUUUGCUUUCCAGCAUUGUUUCAGUUUAGGUUUUCUCUAAAAAUUUAAGCUUUAUUUUCAAGUUAUAGAUUGACUUCCCUAUGUAAUUUUUUUUGUCUUUGUGUUCUUCAAGUACAUUUGUACUCAUUAUUUGAAUUCCAUGUCUCUAAUUUCUUCUGAUCAUUCUCACUAAGGGAAAUUAAUAUGGGAUUUAAAAUAUUUGCAGGUGACAUGUUAUCUUGGUUUUACUUGCAUUAAAAUUAGUUAUUAGUUAAAACAUAAUUAUAUAAUUUCUGCAUUGGGAGUUCACUUGUUGGUUUCAAUUUUUUUCAAAUCACCAUUCAUCGUUCACCACAAGUGUCUACAAUGUUCCAAAUAGUGGAAUUCACUCCAGUCUUGGGAACAUUUAAACACUUUUUACCCUUUUAAUUUUGUGUGCAUUAGUGUUUUCCCACAUGUAUGUCUGUACAUAACACGCAGAAGCCAUAACUAGGCAUUUCAGUCUUCAAAACUGUAGUUACAGAAAGUUGUGAGUCACCAUGCCAGUGCUGGGAAUAAAUCCCAAGUCUUCUGGAAUAGCAGCCAGUGACUUUAAGUGCUGAGCCAUUUCUUCAAGAACAAUGUUGGACCCUUUAUUUACUCUGUGUGGUAUUUAAGGAUACAGCCUUGACUCAGGUAAUUUUUUUUCUUGGCUACAGCCCAUAGCUUCAACUUUUAGAAUAAGAAUCUCCAAAAGGGUUCUUCUGGCAGUGUAGAGUGAUCCUAGGUUUCAAAUGUGGAUAAGGCCACUAAAUAUUGUUAGUAAGGCAUAUUGUCGUUAUCUUUCACUCAUGUGUGGUGCCUCCAGAUUCCCUGGGUCUUCUAGUUUUAGUUUCUAUAGGGUCUGUUGUUGUAUAAAGUUUUGAGUGAGACCCAGAGAAAUACAGGUCAAGGGGAAGUGUAGACUUACUUUUUUUAAAUUUUUAUUUUUUAUAUGAAUUUUUUAUAUUAAUAUUUACUUUGUAUCCCAGCCGUAGCCCCCUCUCUCAUUCCCUCCCAAUACCACCCUCCCUUCCUCCUCUCCUCCCUGCCCCUUUCUAAGUCCACUGCUAGGGGUCCUCCUCCCCUUCCAUCUGACCCUAGCUUAUCAGGUACCUUCAGGACUGUCUGCAAUGUCCUCUUCUGUGGACUAGCAAGAUUGUUCCUCCCUCGGGGAGGUAUAGGAGCCAGUCAUUGAGUUCAUGUCAGAAAUAGUUCCUGUGUCCCUUACUAAGGAACCCUACUUGGUUACUGAGCUACCAUGGGCUACAUCCUAGCAGGGGUUCUAGGUUAUAUCCAUACAUGGUCCUUGGUUGGAGAAACAGUCUCAUAGAGGACCCUUGUGCUCUGAUAUAUUUUGUCCUUGUGGAGCUCCUGACUUACUUAUUUUUUAAUUUUACUAUUAUAACUCAGAAAUUGACUGAUAUGAAAAUAAAUACAGUAUUAGCAUAGUUUACUGUUCUAGCUAGAGAUGAGGGCUUGGAACUCAAGUCUGCACCAUUACACAUUAAAAGUCAGGACAGGAGCCUAUUUUUUCCAGUCAAUAUCAUCUGCUUACUAAGUAACUUAUAUUUCUUCAAUGUUUAUCCUUAAGUACUUCUUAGAAACUAAUUUUCAUCAUCUUAUGUUCUUUUCAGAUUAUGAUAUAUGUAUCAUCAAUAAAGUGAUUGUAUUUUUAUAAUCACUCACUUCACACACUGUAAAAAUAAUUUUUGUCAGAAAAUAACAAGAAUAAAAAUAUUUUUUAAAUGCCCAGUCCUGUUACCAGGACAUUUUCUCAAACGCAUGUGUUUAAGUGUCAUGGAUAUCCUGAACCAAAGAAUAUUGUUGAAUAAUUUGUUCUUCAGGCUGAGUUCUCUGUGUCUAAGGGAGGAGAAAUUUUGUGUUGAUUGAAACACAGGUUUGCCUUAUUAUCCAGGAUUGUACUGAAUGUGAUUUACUGAACACCAGGUUUUUCUAUGGCUUUUCAUUACAUACAGUUUUAUAACAGACAGUUUUCUGCUAUUAUCUACUCAUUGCAUGUUGUUAAUCUGAAACAAAAAAGAAAGUCCCAACAAGCUAUGGUUUGACCUGUUAAUAUUUCUUAAUAUUGUACUUUUUUGUUUCAUUUUGUGUUUUUGUCACUCCACUCACCCAUUCUUUCUUAGAUGAGUCAAUUUAUUUGGGGGACCAUUCUUUCAUUACCACAUCACAAUACACAGCACAUUCACUGCCUUAAAUUGCUUUUUGCUAGAAAAUAGAAUUCUACUCAAUAUAGCUUCCCCCAGACUAUUAGGUGAAAGAGCACACUGUAAUGCCUUUAAAUUGUUAUACUUUUUUACAGAAUGGAGAAGGAUUUCUCACACACCCUAAAGAUUUUAGAGCAUGGUGAGCAGUUGGUGAGCACACUGACUUAGGUGCAGGAAUAGAUUACAAUGAUGCCUCUACUCAAAGAUUAAAAGAAAAAAAGACUAAGAGUCAAGUAGCUCAAAUCUCAAGAAGUAAACAGGGGACUUGAUUAUUUUUACUGAACUUAGGUAGAUAAUUUGGAAAUGAGGAAUGCAGCAGGACUAUAGUUUUUCCAAAGUGACCAAUAAGCUGAUUGUGUUGGGUGCACUCAUCAUAUUGUUCUGCAUGUGCAAAUGUGUAAUAGAAGAAAUUUGUGAGGCACCUAUAGUCAAUAGAGUAGACUCCAUUGGUUGUCUUUGGAUUGAAAAGCAUGAUCCCCUUAUUGUCUUUGUGUGUGCAUGGCAUGAACAUUUUCAUGCCUUCUCCUGAUUUCCUUAUCACAGUAACCUCUGCUGUAACAUGUUUUCAUCAGCCGAAGGUGUUUUUAUAUGAAAAGUUCCUUGCUUCAAACUUGGCUGAAACAACCCAAUCAGAAAGUUGAUCCCUGAAGUACAGCUGUCCAUAUUCUUGGCUGAAAUCAUGGUGCCUGUGGUUAGAAGAUCCGAAACAUUUCCAACUUGUUUUCAAACAAAAUACAGGACCCCAGAUGCAGAACCUAAGGGAAGAAAGAAUUUCAUAACUCUCAGAGGUAGUAGAAGAAGUGUCAGGAAGAAUUUGGGGUGAUUAGUGUGACAGAUACACUCAUUAACAAAGUGAGAAACACACAUGUUCACAAAACUUGAGAUGAAUUAUACCUGCUGGACAUUGUUAAAUUUGUAUUCACUAGUCUUAUGGCUGAGUCUGUAUGUAUGUUAAUAUGAUGUUCUGGAUUUUUAUCUCCUGGCUCUUGUAUAUUCCCAAUUUUGUUUGGGCCUUUUCUGACAAUCACUACUAUGUAACCAUACAGGAAGGUUUUUACCAUCAAGGAGAUGUGAUGACUGGUGCAUUUUUUCCUCAUGUUUAUUACACAAUGAUCCUGAUAUAAAGAACACAUACUAUUUUCAGGAUAUUCAUAUACAGU